GAUGAACGCUGGCGGCGUGCCUAAUACAUGCAAGUCGAGCGAACAGACGAGGAGCUUGCUCCUCUGACGUUAGCGGCGGACGGGUGAGUAACACGUGGAUAACCUACCUAUAAGACUGGGAUAACUUCGGGAAACCGGAGCUAAUACCGGAUAAUAUAUUGAACCGCAUGGUUCAAUAGUGAAAGACGGUUUUGCUGUCACUUAUAGAUGAAUCCGCGCCGCAUUAGCUAGUUGGUAAGGUAACGGCUUACCAAGGCAACGAUGCGUAGCCGACCUGAGAGGGUGAUCGGCCACACUGGAACUGAGACACGGUCCAGACUCCUACGGGAGGCAGCAGUAGGGAAUCUUCCGCAAUGGGCGAAAGCCUGACGGAGCAACGCCGCGUGAAUGAUGAAGGUCUUCGGAUCGUAAAACUCUGUUAUUAGGGAAGAACAAAUGUGUAAGUAACUAUGCACGUCUUGACGGUACCUAAUCAGAAAGCCACGGCUAACUACGUG
RNAcentral lists this ribosomal RNA (497 nucleotides) under uncultured bacterium. Its description in RNAcentral is "partial 16S ribosomal RNA". It matches the Rfam family "Bacterial small subunit ribosomal RNA", at positions 28 to 507 of the family's 1533-position model. The record is from RNAcentral.